RNAcentral lists this unclassified non-coding RNA (259 nucleotides) under uncultured Pseudotomentella. RNAcentral's name for it is "sequence contains ITS2". The record is from RNAcentral. Lineage: Eukaryota; Fungi; Basidiomycota; Agaricomycetes; Thelephorales; Thelephoraceae.
AAUUCUCAACUACCUUUUAGCAUUUUAUGUUAAUGGUGAAGUUGGAGUUGGAGGAUAAUUGCUGGCGCAACUAAGGUUGCUUGUUGGCUCCUCUUGAAUGGAUGAGCUUUUCUGAUAGAUCAUAGCUUAGGAACACUAAUGUGAUAAUUAUCUACGUUAGAUGUGAAAGCUUGUGAGUAGAGUAACUUCAAAUAUGGAGAUUGCUCCUACAGAAAAGGUGUGUUUUUGGGGGAAUAACAAACCCUAAAUGUAAUGACAA